GGGGCUGCUCUGGUUUCGACGAGGGCUAGACGUCUGGUAGUGCAUGUCGAGCUGAAUGUGCUCGUAAAACUGAUUCAAAAAACUUAACUGCAAACGACGAACGUUUCGCACUCGCAGCUUAAUUGCUGAGAGGCUUGCAACAACUCUCCGGUGGGUUGGGCAAAGGGAUGAUGGGGCAACCUAGUAUCUCUCGGCUGCAAGCUUAUUCACAUCGGAUGGUCUCGCACUGGGUGACUUAGUGCGAGGCGAGAAAAUAGGUCGCUGGUCUGCUUCGUAGCGUGCCCCUGCGCGACGAGAUGGGCGAGACACAAAUCAGAAGGCUACACAUGUAGAUCGAUCAGAAAAAAGGUUUUCGGACGCGGGUUCAAUUCCCGCCAGCUCCACCA
This 386-nucleotide transfer-messenger RNA is filed under the name Burkholderiales. Its description in RNAcentral is "JAAFIP01 sp013297925 Standard tmRNA". It matches the Rfam family "transfer-messenger RNA". Rfam says of the family: Bacterial tmRNA, also known as 10Sa RNA or SsrA, is named for its dual tRNA and mRNA-like properties. Its role is to liberate the mRNA from a stalled ribosome. To accomplish this part of the tmRNA is used as a reading frame that ends in a translation stop signal. The record is from RNAcentral. Lineage: Bacteria; Pseudomonadati; Pseudomonadota; Betaproteobacteria. RNAcentral also lists the same sequence under 1 other name.